This is an RNA transcript of Helianthus annuus (common sunflower), 316 nucleotides long. RefSeq lists it as uncharacterized. The record is from RefSeq and is a predicted model, not a curated record. NCBI's taxonomy places the organism in Eukaryota, Viridiplantae, Streptophyta, Magnoliopsida, Asterales, Asteraceae. The transcript has 4 exons.
UUUGAUUUUUUGGAUUAUGCCUGUCGAAUGAUCUACAUUGCUUCUGUCACUCCACGUUGCCCAUAUUUGAUGUUUUUGUUGGGUUCUUCUCAAAAGUUACAAAGAUGCUUACAUUCUUUAGUACAGUGCUUCACUUUGAUUUUUUGGAUUAUGCCUGUCGAAUGAUCUACAUUGCUUCUGUCACUCCACGUUGCCCAUAUUUGAUGUUUUUGUUGGGUUCUUCUCAAAAGUUACAAAGAUGCUUACAUUCUUUAGUACAGUGGUACGUUUUCCAUACUUUUUAUUGAUUAUUGUACUUUCAAUUUGGGUUAUUUGU